CAAGAAAUCGACCUGGUUUGUGAAUUAUGACCUGUACUUCACUUUUGCUUAUUCUCCUGGCUCUCUGCUCAGGGGCUAUUUCCCAGGCUGUUGUGACUCAGGAAUCUGCACUCACCACAUUACCUGGUGGAACAGUUACACUCACUUGUCACUCAAGUACUGGGGCUGUUACAACCAGUAACUAUGCCAACUGGGUCCAAGAAAAAGCAGAUCAUUUAUUCACUGGUAUCAUAGGUGACACCAGCAACAGGGCUCCAGGUGCUCCUGCCAGAUUCUCAGGCUCCCUGCUUGAAGGCAAGGCUGCCCUUACCAUCACAGGGGCACAAAUUGAGGAUGAGGCAAAGUAUUUCUGUUCUCUCUGGUACAGCAACCAUUAUAUUUUCGGCAGUGGAACCAAGCUCACUGUCCUAGGUCAGCCCAAGUCCACUCCCACACUCACAGUAUUUCCACCUUCAACUGAGGAGCUCCAGGAAAACAAAGCCACACUGGUGUGUCUGAUUUCUGAUUUCUACCCGAGUACUGUGGAAGUGGCCUGGAAGGCAAAUGGUGCACCUAUCUCCCAGGGUGUGGACACUGCAAAUCCCACCAAACAGGGCAACAAAUACAUGGCCAGCAGCUUCUUACGUUUGACAGCGGAACAGUGGAGAUCUCGCAACAGUUUUACCUGCCAAGUUACACAUGAAGGGAACACUGUGGAGAAGAGUCUGUCUCCUGCAGAAUGUGUCUAGGAGCCCAGGUUUCCCCUUAGCCUGGGAACCCUGCAGCUGUAGACCCAGAGCAGGGUCUCUUCUCUCUACUGGCUACCUUAUCCCUUCUCCCUUGCCCACUGAAUAUUAAAUAAAAUGUCAUUAGCUGAUCAAAA
Non-coding RNA from Rattus rattus (black rat), 862 nucleotides. Lineage: Eukaryota; Metazoa; Chordata; Mammalia; Rodentia; Muridae. The record is from the annotation of a RefSeq genome assembly.